GGCUUAAUACAUGCAAGUCGUGGGGCAGCACAGUGUAGCAAUACAUGGGUGGCGACCGGCAAACGGGUGCGUAACACGUACGCAACUUACCCAUUACAGGGGAAUAGCCCAGGGAAACUUGGAUUAAUACCCCAUGUUAUAUGAGAUUGGCAUCAGUCUCAUAUCAAAGCUUCGGCGGUAAUGGAUGGGCGUGCGGUUGAUUAGAUAGUUGGCGGGGUAACGGCUCACCAAGUCUACGAUCAAUAGCUGAUGUGAGAGCAUGAUCAGCCACACGGGCACUGAGACACGGGCCCGACUCCUACGGGAGGCAGCAGUAAGGAAUAUUGGGCAAUGGACGAAAGUCUGACCCAGCCAUGCCGCGUGAAGGAUGAAGGUCCUCUGGAUUGUAAACUUCUUUUAUCUGGGGCGAAAACCAUCCUUUCUAGGAUGCUUGACAGUACCAGAGGAAUAAGCACCGGCUAACUCCGUGCCAGCAGCCGCGGUAAUACGGAGGGUGCAAGCGUUAUCCGGAUUUACUGGGUUUAAAGGGUGCGUAGGCGGGCAGGUAAGUCAGUGGUGAAAUCCCCGAGCUUAACUCGGGAACUGCCGUUGAUACUAUCUGUCUUGAAUAUCGUGGAGGUAAGCGGAAUAUGUCAUGUAGCGGUGAAAUGCUUAGAUAUGACAUAGAACACCAAUUGCGAAGGCAGCUUGCUACACUAUUAUUGACGCUGAGGCACGAAAGCGUGGGGAUCAAACAGGAUUAGAUACCCUGGUAGUCCACGCCCUAAACGAUGAUUACUCGACAUCAGCGAUACACUGUUGGUGUCUAAGCUAAAGCAUUAAGUAAUCCACCUGGGAAGUACGAUCGCAAGAUUGAAACUCAAAGGAAUUGGCGGGGGUCCGCACAAGCGGUGGAGCAUG
Molecule: ribosomal RNA, 900 nt
Filed under: uncultured bacterium
Lineage: Bacteria
Description: bacterial SSU rRNA
Rfam family: Bacterial small subunit ribosomal RNA
Source: RNAcentral